RNAcentral lists this ribosomal RNA (497 nucleotides) under uncultured bacterium. RNAcentral's name for it is "partial 16S ribosomal RNA". It matches the Rfam family "Bacterial small subunit ribosomal RNA", at positions 28 to 507 of the family's 1533-position model. The record is from RNAcentral.
GAUGAACGCUGGCGGCGUGCCUAAUACAUGCAAGUCGAGCGAACAGACGAGGAGCUUGCUCCGCUGACGUUAGCGGCGGACGGGGGAGUAACACGUGGAUAACCUACCUAUAAGACUGGGAUAACUUCGGGAAACCGGAGCUAAUACCGGAUAAUAUAUUGAACCGCAUGGUUCAAUAGUGAAAGACGGUUUUGCUGUCACUUAUAGAUGGAUCCGCGCCGCAUUAGCUAGUUGGUAAGGUAACGGCUUACCAAGGCAACGAUGCGUAGCCGACCUGAGAGGGUGAUCGGCCACACUGGAACUGAGACACGGUCCAGACUCCUACGGGAGGCAGCAGUAGGGAAUCUUCCGCAAUGGGCGAAAGCCUGACGGAGCAACGCCGCGUGAGUGAUGAAGGUCUUCGGAUCGUAAAACUCUGUUAUUAGGGAAGAACAAAUGUGUAAGUAACUAUGCACGUCUUGACGGUACCUAAUCAGAAAGCCACGGCUAACUACGUG